Molecule: ribosomal RNA, 396 nt
Filed under: Halocrusticida parasitica
Lineage: Eukaryota; Oomycota; Peronosporomycetes; Pythiales; Haliphthoraceae
Description: partial small subunit ribosomal RNA
Rfam family: Eukaryotic small subunit ribosomal RNA
Source: RNAcentral
GCUUGUCUCAAAGAUUAAGCCAUGCAUGUCUAAGUAUAAACAAAUCUAUACUGUGAAACUGCGAAUGGCUCAUUAUAUCAGUUAUAGUUUAUUUGAUGGUUCUUGCUACUUGGAUAACCGUAGUAAUUCUAGAGCUAAUACAUGCAUCAAACCCCGACUCACGAAGGGGUGUAUUUAUUAGAUUGAAACCAAUGCAGUCUUCGGGCUGGUAUUGUGUUGAGUCAUAAUAACUGUGCGGAUCGCGUUUUACGCGAUAAAUCGAUUGAGUUUCUGCCCUAUCAGCUUUCGAUGGUAGGGUAUUGGCCUACCAUGGCGUUAACGGGUAACGGAGAAUUAGGGUUCGAUUCCGGAGAGGGAGCCUGAGAGAUGGCUACCACAUCCAAGGAAGGCAGCAGG